Molecule: unclassified non-coding RNA, 394 nt
Filed under: Bombus terrestris (buff-tailed bumblebee)
Lineage: Eukaryota; Metazoa; Arthropoda; Insecta; Hymenoptera; Apidae
Description: misc RNA ENSBTSG00005021825.1
Source: RNAcentral
ACAGUCAGUUGUUGAUCAGUUAUCAACCAGUUAUCAACGAAUUACCAGCGAUUUAAUUAACGAGUCAUUAGCGAUCCUAUUUUACGACUGAUACACUGUCUUAGCAAAUCGGCCAAGGUUUUUUCACUUAAUCAAGUAAACCUGUGCUUGACAAAGCAACAGCUGUCGAGUGGAAAGGUUUCAAAAAGAACCGUGCAACUGGAGACAAACAAGAACACAGCUGGGCCGUCGAAUAUUAUCAAGGGAAUUAACUUUGAUCCAGCCGAAAUUUUGCAACGGUCUUAAUUCAUUGAAGUUGUAUCGAGGAACGAGUUGCUUAGCGACAUCAUGGAAAGAAGAGUUGUUUGUUGUCAUUGUGUAAACGGUUAUGUUAAGAAGAAAUAAACGAGUGGGG